GACGAACGCUGGCGGCGUGCUUAACACAUGCAAGUCGAACGGAAAGGCCCUGCUUUUGUUGGGUGCUCGAGUGGCGAACGGGUGAGUAACACGUGAGUAACCUGCCCUUGACUUUGGGAUAACUUCAGGAAACUGGGGCUAAUACCGGAUAGGAGCUCCUGCUGCAUGGUGGGGGUUGGAAAGUUUCGGCGGUUGGGGAUGGACUCGCGGCUUAUCAGCUUGUUGGUGGGGUAGUGGCUUACCAAGGCUUUGACGGGUAGCCGGCCUGAGAGGGUGACCGGCCACAUUGGGACUGAGAGACGGCACAGACUCGUACGGGAGGCAGCAGGGGGGAAUAUUGCACAAUGGGCGGAAGCCUGAUGCAGGAACGCCGCGUGCGGGAUGACGGCCUUCGGGUUGUAAACAGCUUUCGCCUGUGACGAAGCGGGAGGGACGGUAAUGGGUAAAGAAGCACCGGCUAACUACGU
This 467-nucleotide ribosomal RNA is filed under the name uncultured bacterium. Its description in RNAcentral is "partial 16S ribosomal RNA". It matches the Rfam family "Bacterial small subunit ribosomal RNA", at positions 28 to 506 of the family's 1533-position model. The record is from RNAcentral.